UGGGGAAUAUUGGGCAAUGGGGGAAACCCUGACCCAGCAACGCCGCGUGAAGGACGAAGGCCUUCGGGUUGUAAACUUCUUUGAUCAGGGACGAACGAAAUGACGGUACCUGAAGAACAAGCCACGGCUAACUACGUGCCAGCAGCCGCGGUAAUACGUAGGUGGUGAGCGUUAUCCGGAUUUACUGGGUGUAAAGGGCGUGCAGGCGGGUCCGCAAGUCGGGUGUGAAAUAUCCGGGCUUAACCCGGAAAGGUCAUUCGAAACUGCGGAUCUUGAGUACUGGAGAGGACAGUGGAAUUCCUGGUGUAGCGGUAAAAUGCGUAGAUAUCAGGAGGAACACCAGUGGCGAAGGCGGCUGUCUGGACAGUAACUGACGCUGAGGCGCGAAAGCGUGGGGAGCAAACAG
Molecule: ribosomal RNA, 406 nt
Filed under: uncultured bacterium
Lineage: Bacteria
Description: bacterial SSU rRNA
Rfam family: Bacterial small subunit ribosomal RNA
Source: RNAcentral